This 1397-nucleotide ribosomal RNA is filed under the name metagenome. RNAcentral's name for it is "bacterial SSU rRNA". It matches the Rfam family "Bacterial small subunit ribosomal RNA". The record is from RNAcentral.
GGGGGGGCAACCUCGUGAGUAAAGUGGCGUACGGGUGAGUAACACGUGGGUAAUCUACCUCUUAGUGGGGAAUAACCCUGGGAAACCGGGGGUAAUACCGCAUAAUCCCGAGAGGGGAAAGCAGCAAUGCGCUGGGAGAGGAGCCCGCGGCCGAUUAGCUAGUUGGUGAGGUAACGGCCCACCAAGGCAAAGAUCGGUAGCCGGCCUGAGAGGGCACACGGCCACACUGGCACUGAAACACGGGCCAGACUCCUACGGGAGGCAGCAGUGGGGAAUCUUGCACAAUGGGGGAAACCCUGAUGCAGCGACGCCGCGUGAGCGAUGAAGCCCUUCGGGGUGUAAAGCUCUUUCGGCAGGGAAGAAACAUGACGGUACCUGCAGAAGCAGCUGCGGCUAACUACGUGCCAGCAGCCGCGGUAAUACGUAGGCAGCGAGCGUUGUUCGGAGUUACUGGGCGUAAAGGGUGCGUAGGCGGUCCUUUAAGUUUGGUGUGAAAUCUCCCGGCUCAACUGGGAGGGUGCGCCGGAUGCUGAGGGACUAGAGUGUGGGAGAGGAAAGUGGAAUUCCUGGUGUAGCGGUGAAAUGCGUAGAUAUCAGGAGGAACACCGGCGGUGUAAACGGCUUUCUGGACCAUAACUGACGCUGAGGCACGAAAGCGUGGGGAGCAAACAGGAUUAGAUACCCUGGUAGUCCACGCCCUAAACGAUGCACGUUUGGUGUGGGUGAUUCAGUUCAUCCGUGCCGGAGCUAACGCGUUAAACGUGCCGCCUGGGGAGUACAGUCGCAAGGCUGAAACUCAAAGGAAUUGACGGGGGCCCGCACAAGCGGUGGAGCAUGUGGUUCAAUUCGACACUACGCGAAGAACCUUACCUGGGCUCGAACGGCCGGUCAACGUGGGUGGAAACACUUAUACCCCGCAAGGGGGUCCGGUCGAGGUGCUGCAUGGCUGUCGUCAGCUCGUGUCGUGAGAUGUUGGGUUAAGUCCCGCAACGAGCGCAACCCUUGUCCUGUGUUGCCAUCCCGAAAGGGGGCACUCGCAGGAGACCGCCAGCGAUAAGUUGGAGGAAGGUGGGGAUGACGUCAAGUCCUCAUGGCCUUUAUGUCCAGGGCUACACACGUGCUACAAUGGCCGGUACAAAGGGCAGCUAACCCGCGAGGGGGAGCCAAUCCCAAAAAAACCGGUCUCAGUUCGGAUUGCAGGCUGCAACCCGCCUGCAUGAAGCUGGAAUCGCUAGUAAUGGCAGAUCAGCACGCUGCCGUGAAUACGUUCCCGGGCCUUGUACACACCGCCCGUCACAUCACGAAAGUGGGUUGUACUAGAAGCCUGCAGGCCGACCCGCAAGGGGGGCAGCGGUCCAAGGUAUGACUCAUGAUUGGGGUGAAGUCGUAACAAGGUA